This 465-nucleotide ribosomal RNA is filed under the name uncultured bacterium. RNAcentral describes it as "partial 16S ribosomal RNA". It matches the Rfam family "Bacterial small subunit ribosomal RNA", at positions 338 to 795 of the family's 1533-position model. The record is from RNAcentral.
CCUACGGGUGGCAGCAGUAGGGAAUUUUCGUCAAUGGGCGCAAGCCUGAACGAGCGAUGCCGCGUGAGUGAAGAAGGUCUUCGGGUCGUAAAGCUCUGUUGCGGGGGAAAAAAGGCAGCAUUAGGAAAUGGGUGCUGACUGACGGUGCCCCGCCAGAAAGUCACGGCUAACUACGUGCCAGCAGCCGCGGUAAUACGUAGGGGGCGAGCGUUAGCCGGAAUGAUUGGGCGUAAAGUGUGCGCAGGCGGUCCUGCAAGUCUGGAGUGAAACGCACGGGCGCAACUCAGGAAUGGCUUUGGAAACUGGAGGACUGGAGAGCAGGAGAGGGCGGUGGAACUCCAGGUGUAGCGGUAAAAUGCGUAGAUAUAUGGAAGAACACCAGUGGCGAAGGCGGCCGCCUGGCCUGUUGCUGACGCUGAGGCACGAAAGCGUGGGGAGCAAAUAGGAUUAGAUACCCCUGUAGUC